CAAUAGCGUAUAUUAAAGCUGUUGCGGUUAAAAAGCUCGUAGUUGGAUUUCUGUCAAGGACAACUGGUCCGCCCUCCGGGUGAGCACAUAGUUUGGUCUUGGCAUCUUGCUGGAAACUGUUGCUGCGCUUGGUUGUGUGGUGCAGCUUUCAGCACUUUCACUUUGAGGAAAUUGGAGUGUUUCAAGCAGGCACAUGCCUUUGGACACAGUAGCAUGGAAUAAUUAGAUUGGGCUUUUGCUCCAACUUGUUGGUUCCUGGAGCUGAGGUGAGAAUCAAUGGGGAUUGUUGGGGGCAUCCGAAUUUAGCCGUCAGAGGUGAAAUUCUUGGAUCUGCUAAAGACGGACAACUGCGAAANCGNNNGCCCAGGAUGUUUNCAUNGA
This 381-nucleotide ribosomal RNA is filed under the name uncultured eukaryote. RNAcentral's name for it is "partial 18S ribosomal RNA". It matches the Rfam family "Eukaryotic small subunit ribosomal RNA", at positions 592 to 976 of the family's 1831-position model. The record is from RNAcentral.